CACGUAGGAGGCGAGCGUUGUCCGGAAUCAUUGGGCGUAAAGAGCGCGCAGGCGGCUUGGCAAGUCGGGUGUGAAAUCCCGGGGCUCAACCCCGGGACUGCAUUCGAUACUGUCAGGCUAGAGGUAGGUAGGGGAGAUCGGAAUUCUUGGUGUAGCGGUGAAAUGCGUAGAUAUCAAGAGGAACACCUGAGGUGAAGACGGGUUGCUGGGCUGACACUGACGCUGAGGCACGAAAGCUAGGGUAGCAAACGGG
RNAcentral lists this ribosomal RNA (253 nucleotides) under uncultured bacterium. Its description in RNAcentral is "partial 16S ribosomal RNA". It matches the Rfam family "Bacterial small subunit ribosomal RNA", at positions 524 to 776 of the family's 1533-position model. The record is from RNAcentral.